AAACUCCGGUUGCUUCAUCUUG
Molecule: microRNA, 22 nt
Filed under: Monodelphis domestica (gray short-tailed opossum)
Lineage: Eukaryota; Metazoa; Chordata; Mammalia; Didelphimorphia; Didelphidae
Description: mdo-miR-12307-3p
Source: miRBase by way of RNAcentral